RNAcentral lists this long non-coding RNA (3645 nucleotides) under Sus scrofa (pig). Its description in RNAcentral is "lncRNA (ENSSSCG00065027933.1)". The record is from RNAcentral. Lineage: Eukaryota; Metazoa; Chordata; Mammalia; Artiodactyla; Suidae.
GGCUUCGAGGAGGCGGCGGUGGAGGAGCUGGAGUUGGCGUUGCCGGACUUCACCUUCUUCCUGGGCCGGUACUUGUAGUCGGGGUAGUCAGCCAUGUGCUUGAGGCGCAGCCGCUCCGCCUCCCGAAUGAAAGGGAUCUUGUCGCUGUCUUUGAGCAGCUUCCAGCGUUUGCCCAGCCGCUUGGAGAUCUCGGCGUUGUGCAUGUCGGGCGACUGUUCCAUGAUCUUGCGCCGCUCGAUCUGCGACCACACCAUGAAGGCGUUCAUGGGCCGCUUGAUGUGCCCACUUGGCGUCUUGCACCAGCUCGGGUCGUCGGCCUUGCCGCCCGUGGAGGCUGUGGAGCCGGGCGUGGGGGAGGAGGCGAUGCCCAGCUCCAGGCCGGCGCCCGAGUCCGAGCUCUCGCCGGCCAGCAGCGCUUCCGUGUUCUCGGCGUUGUUGGUUUGCUGCACCAUGGCCCCGGCUCCGCGGGCGCCCACGCGCGCUCACACCCUCGCGGCGGCCGCGGCGCGAUCGCCGGGCCCUCCCGGCUCCCGGAGCCAAGCGCACGCCGAGCGGGAGGACGCGUGCGGCUGCGGAGCUGGCCGCUCAACUCCCGGCCGGGGCGGAGGUGGGCGAAGAGCGAAAAGUCACCAAAGGAUGCGGGGUAGGAGUACUCCGCCUCUUGCAGAGGAGUUAUAGUUCCCAGGCUGGAGCGUCUCCCUCCCUCCCUCCCUCUCUCGCUCUUGCUCUUCUCUUUCUCACCGCGCCGCAGUUUGCUCUAUCUCGGCUCGGAGUCCUGGAGACCGUGCUAAAGUGAAGAGGAGUUUCUCGAAUGCUGGUUGCUGAAGCUUCCAGUGCAAGUUUCUCGCCGCCUCCCAGGCAAGUCUGGAUUUUUUUUUUUUUUUUUUCUUCCCCUGAAGCAGUUGAUUCCAGUUCACGAGCGCUCUCGGGAGCUCAGGAAAGCGACAUAGUCUCUAUCAUUUAGUCCCUCUCCUGCAAUGCAAAGCAGAAAAGACUCUGGCUCCAGGACUCUCUGUGGGCGGAAUCGGCACUAAGGAGUUUGUGCAAUUAUUUUGUUGCAAGGUAGGAAGCCAAAAAGCCUUCAUGCAACAGACUGGCAUGAAUAAAUGUAUGUUUCCCCCUCCCUUCUGCAAGAAGGGAGCUGGUAAUGGCACAGUUCCUCCGAUGCAGACUCUUAAAGAGCGUGCAAGAACUAGAGACCCGGGAGCGAAACAGGCCUCUCCCCCUCACACACUGUUUCUCUUGCUGCAGCUUAGAGCAGACCCCAAUUCCGCCUCGCGCCUCUUUAUCCUUUCCCAGUCCUGGCCGCAGCCAAUCAGCCGCUGUAACCAACGCUUCCUCGUGCCAAGCCCCUCCCCCGGGCUUCCUAUUGGCUUGGAACCCGAUGCAAUAAUAAUCUCCGCGUGCAAUGAGAAGCUCCAAAUCUGACCUCAUUCCAAUUUACAGAGCAAACUUUUUAAAAGGGCUAGAAGUACAGCUGAGAUUUCUGCUGCCUCUUUUUUCCUUUUGCUGUGCCUGCGUGUGUGCGUUUGUGUGUGUGUCUGUGUAUGUGUGUGUGUGCAGCAUGUGGUGUUUGAAGAGGAUGUUAAUGCAUGAAAUUAUUAAGGGGAGAGACGGAAAUGUAUUCUAACCAUUAUGUUAGAUAACAAGGGGCUUAGAAGGGGGGAGGGUGAAAUACUGUAAAUGGAAGCUUUCUGCUUAAAAGCCAAGUGAUUAUUUUUAUUAGUUCUUUUCAGUAUUGGAAUAAAGAAUCAGCCUCUGGUGCAAAAUCUGUUCCUCGGCUCCUUCAUAAAGCCAAGGAUGUAGAAGGGGGAGGAAAACCACGACAAUAAAUCAAUGGAUAUUGAAAACCAUUAAGAAAGUGGUACCUGGACACCUGUCAUCACAGUUAUUUUAACAACUCGAGGUACAGCACAGAUGUUGAUGUACUGUGUAAAUCCCUUCAGAGCAAUUUGGGUGCUGUUUGUGAAGGCAGAGAAGAAGAAUUUUUGCAAUAAUUAUUUGCUUUCUUAACCAAACAGGGGUUAACUAUGGUUACUUAAUGAUUUAAAUUCGGCUAUAAAUCCUGGAUAGCCUAAACAGAGGAGCUUUCCACUGGAGCACAUUAGGCAGCAUUCUAUACUUAACUCAAGGGGAGAAUUUACAUAGAAUUUUGUGUAAGAUGAUAAAGGAUAGGAAUCGAUUUUACUUUCUAAGUAUUUGCUUUCCACAUUUUCAGAAUUAAAGAUUGCUCCACUCUGUCCUUCUCCCAGCCUAAACCCUCCUCCUUUCCUUUAUAUAUAUUUUCUCCUAUAUAUUAGCUGCUUCAAUCAAAUGGAACUGAAAGACCCAGACAAAGAGAAACUAGAAGGCAGUGGUAGCUGGUUGCAGAAGAAAAUGGAACCUCUGGAUUUACAUUAGAUUUGGUGAUUUAUAUUAGAUCUGGUCGCUAGUCCUUUUUACUGGUCUUGUAACCCUGGGGAUGUGACAAGUAUCAGUUUUCCUCAUCUGUGAUGUGGGAACAGUAGGAACUACUUUAUGUAGGGUGUUUGUGAAGGUUGAAUGAGCUUGAUGUACAGUAAGCCCUCAGUGAAUGCUGUUGUCCUUCCCUGGCUAAUUCACAUUGUGAAGACACUCCCUUUAGUAGAAGCAUGUUGUUCAAGAGACUAAAAUUGAGGAUGGCCACUGAUGUGAAAAAAUAAUCACAGAUCAUAAACAUGAACUAUCCAAGGACCACAUCAGCAAUCCUAUUGUCCUAAUGAUUUGAAAAGAAACUUCAUGAAGAGCCUUGUGAAGAACGCAGCAAAGAAAAUGUGCUUUCGUAGUCAGAAUACAUGCUAAUUUAGCCAUGAAAAUUACCUUUGGUCUAAGUAUCCUCAUGAGAACAAGAAGAAAACGGGUGUUUCCACUGGGCCACGGAGAUUUGAAGCAUAAAUACAAGCUUCUGUCUGCCCCAUUUCGCGAGGCAGGAGCAGGGCACACCCACUGGGAGCCUGGGUUUGCUCUGCCACCAGCCGGCUCCCAAUCCGGGGAGAAGCCGCCGCCAGGUGGCAGCGCUGAGCCUCCCUGCACUCGCAUGGAGACGUGGGAAAACGUGGAGACUGUCAGACUUCUUUCUUCUCCCCCUUCCACCUCUCCCGAACCCUUAUCAUCCCACACUCUUCCAACGUGUUUAGGUAGCAGUUUAAAUGAUCAGAGGUUAUAGAGUGUGUCGAUGAAUCUUGAUGAUUUUUUUUUAAAUCAUAAAUCGAGUUUGGGGCAACGAACAGUUUUGGCCUCCUGUUCACUUGUCAAAGCUCCCAGACACUGGAGACGCCAAGGCUAGCUCCGGUUUGGGUCUAGUAAGUGAACCGGGCAGUUAUCAAUUACCGUGUCCGUAUCUUGCUGAAGCUGCAAGUAGUUAGAAGUCUCUCUCCGAGAGCCGCUGCAAAGGAGGCGCGCUUUACUUAAGGACUGGCAACGGAUACCCCUCCUCCUGGAAAGAUGGUCUCAGCCAGACGCCUGACCGAGCGCAGCGACUCGGUGGCGCAGGCUCGGCGCUCUUCCUGCCCUGAGCUCGGAGAGGAUUCGGCGGGGAUUAAUGGUGCUCAGCCGCGUUCCGCCGCGCCGGCUGAGACUGGCCUUGCGAUUAUGGUUACAGGGAGGAAAUAAAUUGGAAUCGACUCA